AUCAGAAGAGGAGCCAGUGGAUCAGAUGAGAAAUGGCUUCUUAAACCAAGUCCAAGAACUGUGAAAGAAACUUGUGCAGCCGAGCUGCUAAAGAAAUGUGAAGGUGUCUCUAAUGGAACUUGUUAGACUGGAUUGUCAAUCAAAAGCCAAAUCUUUGGUGUUUGUGAGGAAAAAAAAUGCCCAGCAGCCGUCCUGCAGCACAUCAGUGCUUUGUCUGACUGCGGUGUGAAGGUGUUGCUCGGGACCAGGGACACUUGGACUGGUUGUUUGUUUAUUUCCAGGAAGUUUGAAGGUCGGCAUUACUUGGUAGAUGGUGGAUGAGGGCCCCAGAGCAGAGCAGCACCAUGAGUUUUGUCCCCGAGCAGUUUGCACCAGGGCUGCAGUUGCUUCUGUUGCAAUCCCUACUGGAGCAGCUGUCCCUUCCUGAAGGGGGAGGAAGAACUCUGGUAUUCUCUCCACAUCAGAAGAUCACCCCUGCAUUCCCAAGUGUUGUCCUCCACCACCCAGUAUCUGAGGGAUCACAUCAGCAAUUCCCAACCAGCCCAUAGCAAUGUGGUACAGAGGGGCUUUAUUUUCAUCACCUGUGACUUCGGGCUGAAGCUCCCCAGGAAGGAUUGUUUAGAGAGGAGCAGCACCUUGAAGGAACAUCCAGACACAGCCCUCCUGCUUCCUGACCUCAGCACAGGGAUGCUGAUCUCUGCAAUGCCCUGUCCUUGUCCCCAGGCUCCUCCAGCCCGUUCUUCCAGCCCAGUCCCUCUCACUGGCAGCUCAGCAGUGGUGAGGAUUAAAAAUCAAAAGCAUCCUGCAACAACUACUCCUCUACCUAGGAAAGCACCAAGUCACUCCUGGUUCUACCGCUGUGAUGAGCAAAGGAAACCUUGAGGGAUAGGUUGGGACUUGUUACACUUAGCACUGCUCCCUUCCUCUUUUAGCUAGUAGGCAAUUAUCAGAUCCGAUCAACAGAAACAGACCUUUCCCAGAGCACAGCUCUUGUGCAGUGUUCUGCAGGUUUGGCCAACUGCACGCCUUCGGUGCUUCAGAUCCACCUCACGGUGUUCAGUGUGGCACUCGUGAAUCUUCACUGGGCCCUUCACUGUCCAGGAGGGGACAAUGGGCUGAGCUCUUCCAUCGAGCCUGCAGUCCCCAUUACAUCGCUUUCACUCCCAGCAGCUAUUCAGUUCCUGAGUUCUAUAGUUCCUGCAUUUACUGCCUCCCAUGCAUGGGCUGUUCUCCCUCUCUGAUGCAUAGAAAUGUUGAGCUAAACUAUGAGUUGGCAGCUUGGAAGCUUUUCUUCCAGGUACAAUCUCUGCUUCCUAAGCAGGUUUUUGAGGAUGUGUCUAUUGCAG
RNAcentral lists this long non-coding RNA (1346 nucleotides) under Gallus gallus (chicken). RNAcentral describes it as "lncRNA (ENSGALG00010027541.1)". Lineage: Eukaryota; Metazoa; Chordata; Aves; Galliformes; Phasianidae. The record is from RNAcentral.